Molecule: microRNA, 21 nt
Filed under: Bos taurus (domestic cattle)
Lineage: Eukaryota; Metazoa; Chordata; Mammalia; Artiodactyla; Bovidae
Description: bta-miR-2285y
Source: miRBase by way of RNAcentral
AAAACCCAAACAAACUUUUUU